UGACGACCAUAGCGCCUUGGCACCACGCCUUCCCAUCCCGAACAGGACCGUGAAACAAGGCAGCGCCGAUGAUACUGAGGAACACUCCUCGGGAAAGUAGGUCAUCGUCA
RNAcentral lists this ribosomal RNA (110 nucleotides) under Hydrogenophilus thermoluteolus. The record is from RNAcentral. Lineage: Bacteria; Pseudomonadati; Pseudomonadota; Hydrogenophilia; Hydrogenophilales; Hydrogenophilaceae. RNAcentral also lists the same sequence under 1 other name.